UUACGGCCAUAUCACGUUGAAACACGGGUUCUCGUCCGAUCACCGAAGUUAAGCAAGUUCGAGCCUGGUCAGUACCUAG
Acanthosepion pharaonis is the source of this 79-nucleotide non-coding RNA. The record is from the annotation of a GenBank genome assembly. Lineage: Eukaryota; Metazoa; Mollusca; Cephalopoda; Sepiida; Sepiidae.